RNAcentral lists this ribosomal RNA (451 nucleotides) under uncultured bacterium. Its description in RNAcentral is "partial 16S ribosomal RNA". It matches the Rfam family "Bacterial small subunit ribosomal RNA", at positions 29 to 523 of the family's 1533-position model. The record is from RNAcentral.
AACGAACGCUGGCGGCAGGCCUAACACAUGCAAGUCGAACGGACGUAGCAAUACGUCAGUGGCUCACGGGAGAGUAACGCGUGGGAACCUACCUUUUGGUUCGGGAUAACAUCGGGAAACUGGUGCUAAUACCGGAUAAGCCCUUCGGGGGAAAGAUUUAUUGCCGAAAGAUGGGCCCGCGUUGGAUUAGCUAGUUGGUGAGGUAAUGGCUCACCAAGGCAACGAUCCAUAGCUGGUCUGAGAGGAUGAUCAGCCUCACUGGGACUGAGACACGGCCCAGACUCCUACGGGAGGCAGCAGUGGGGAAUAUUGGACAAUGGGGGAAACCCUGAUCCAGCCAUGCCGCGUGAAUGAUGAAGGCCCUCGGGUUGUAAAGUUCUUUUGGUGGGGACGAUGAUGACGGUACCCACAGAAUAAGCUCCGGCUAACUUCGUGCCAGCAGCCGCGGUAA